CAGGGGGAAUUACCCAAGAAAACCAUAUGAAAUGGGACGACCAUGCAGUGGAUGCAGUAAUGAGAAGUGUGUAGACAGGCUCUGUGAAAAUACAGAACGUGAGAAGCUGAUAAAUUAUGCCUACUGGUAUCCAGACUGGGAUUCACAGCCCCAGCCACCGCGGCCCCGUCCCCCUCGCCCUCCCACGCCAUCGUACAUCCCACCUGCUGAGGACCCGCAUCCCUCUUGUGACCAAUACUGUCUUAGUGUUAUUAUUUUAAGGCUACUGUUUUUGGUACUGAGUGCUGUUGCUGUUCUUUUAGUACAACGGCGGUUUCCACAUGCAUUUUUUUAUGAGUAAAGAUCAAUUAAGAUACUGAUAGUGAUCCUACCACUGUAUUACUCUCAGAGAAUUGCACACAUUUAAAAAAACAUUUGAUCAUCUCUCCAUUAUACUUGUGAUGUUUAUACAGCAUAGAAAAGGCUGCUUCUUCACUCAGGGCAAGAUACAAGUGGCUGUUCGUAGAGUUAGUAUAAUUUAUUGGCAGUAGCUGCAACACGCUUCUGUGUCUGUACAAGCCUCUUAGCUCUGGCUCAGGGGUAAAUAGCUAGAAGGACCACGUAGACUACAUGUUACUAUAUAUGCUAACAAGCCUCCUGGAAACGUGGGGCAUCACAAAGACAUAUCUGAAGCAGCACACUGUAUCCAAAAGAAGCAAUAACUCAUCUCCAUUAACCUUCAGUUAUCCCAGACAUCAUUUUCCCUAGAUAAUGGAGAUUUAACUGUAUGUAUUACUUUUUAUGAACAUAAGGACUAAAGCUUGUCCUUUACUAUAUUUAGCCUAUAUGUAUCAUUCUCCAUUAAAAUUACUCUAUUGUCAGUUGUACUAUUCUAUUCUUCUCCUCUGAGAGUUAAGCUUUGUCCUCCAUAGCUAGAAGAAUACAGGGAAAGUUGGUAGAGCAAGAAUUAAGAUGGGGUGUAAAUGGGGAGAGCUUAAUUUUAGAAUGCAAGAUGGUGAUAAAAUCUGAAAUGCAGAGUAGAUGACAACCAUCCCGAGCUUGCAGGCAGGGGAAGGGGGAAACAGGGAAAAAAAGGAGAGGGAAGAUUAAAUG
RNAcentral lists this long non-coding RNA (1092 nucleotides) under Otus sunia (Oriental scops-owl). RNAcentral describes it as "lncRNA (ENSOSUG00000010337.1)". Lineage: Eukaryota; Metazoa; Chordata; Aves; Strigiformes; Strigidae. The record is from RNAcentral.